Molecule: non-coding RNA, 647 nt
Organism: Leptonychotes weddellii (Weddell seal)
Lineage: Eukaryota; Metazoa; Chordata; Mammalia; Carnivora; Phocidae
Source: RefSeq, a predicted model, not a curated record
AAAAACAAAACAACAAAAACCAAAGACAUGAACGGGGCACACAGUGCCCUAUGAAUAUAAGGAAUGUGGUAAAGCCUUCCUUUCUCCCAGAUGCCUUGAAAAACAUAAAAGAAUACAUAAUGGGAAGAAACCUCGUGAAUGUAGGAAUGUGGUAAAGCUUUCUGUUAUCCCAGUUUCCUUGGAAAACAUGAAAGAAGUCAUAGCGGGGAGAAACCUGUGAGUGUAAACUAUGUGGUGAGGCCUUCAGCAGUCACUAUGAUGUUCAAAAACAUGAAAGAACUCACACUGAAAUGAAACUCUGUGAAUGGAAACUCUAUGAAUGUGGGAAAGCCUUCACUUAUCCUUCAGGUGUUCAGUCACACGUGGUAAUCCACACUGGAGAUGGACCUUAUAAAGGGCAUCACAAACAUGAAAAAACUCACACUGGAGAGAAACCCCAUCAAUGUAAAAAUUGUAGUAAAGCCCCCACCACAGUUCAACUUUGAAGACCCAGCACAGUUUGGAUUUCCUGCAAGCCGUCAUGUGUCCACCAGGAAACAGAUUUAUACAGUCGUGGUUGAGAAUGUUCUCUGAAGCGCUGCUCCCCUCUUCUCUAGGUCAUAUUUAUAUAAGCUCUAAUUUGUAUAGUAAACACCUUGUUCUCUUAA